RNAcentral lists this non-coding RNA (29 nucleotides) under Mus musculus (house mouse). The record is from RNAcentral. Lineage: Eukaryota; Metazoa; Chordata; Mammalia; Rodentia; Muridae.
UCAAAAACUGGAUGUGAAAGAUGAUGCGC